Molecule: ribosomal RNA, 378 nt
Filed under: uncultured cyanobacterium
Lineage: Bacteria; Bacillati; Cyanobacteriota
Description: bacterial SSU rRNA
Rfam family: Bacterial small subunit ribosomal RNA
Source: RNAcentral
CGAAAGCCUGACGGAGCCAGACCGCGUGAGGGAAGAAAGCCUUUGGGUUGUAAACCUCUUUUCUCAGGGAAGAAACCUGACGGUACCUGAGGAAUCAGCAUCGGCUAACUCCGUGCCAGCAGCCGCGGUAAGACGGAGGAUGCAAGCGUUAUCCGGAAUUAUUGGGCGUAAAGCGUCCGCAGGUGGUGAGUCAAGUCUGCUGUCAAAGCCAGGAGCUCAACUCCUGUCCGGCAGUGGAAACUGACCCACUCGAGGGUGGUAGGGGUAGAGGGAAUUCCCAGUGUAGCGGUGAAAUGCGUAGAGAUUGGGAAGAACACCGGUGGCGAAAGCGCUCUACUGGACGGCAACUGACACUCAGGGACGAAAGCUAGGGGAGCG